RNAcentral lists this ribosomal RNA (257 nucleotides) under uncultured bacterium. RNAcentral's name for it is "partial 16S ribosomal RNA". It matches the Rfam family "Bacterial small subunit ribosomal RNA", at positions 335 to 589 of the family's 1533-position model. The record is from RNAcentral.
ACUCCUACGGGAGGCAGCAGUGAGGAAUAUUGGACAAUGGGCGCAAGCCUGAUCCAGCCAUGCCGCGUGCAGGAAGACUGCCCUAUGGGUUGUAAACUGCUUUUAUACGGGAAGAAACACUCCCUCGUGAGGGAGCUUGACGGUACCGUAAGAAUAAGGAUCGGCUAACUCCGUGCCAGCAGCCGCGGUAAUACGGAGGAUCCAAGCGUUAUCCGGAAUCAUUGGGUUUAAAGGGUCCGUAGGUGGAUAAUUAAGCA